CCUACGGGGGGCAGCAGUGGGGAAUAUUGCACAAUGGGGGAAACCCUGAUGCAGCAACGCCGCGUGAGCGAAGAAGGCCUCCGGGUCGUAAAGCUCUGUCCUAAGGGAAGAAGCAUGACGGUACCUUAGGAGGAAGCCCCGGCUAACUACGUGCCGGCAGCCGCGGUAAUACGCUGGGGGCGAGCGUUAUCCGGAAUCACUGGGUGUAAAGGGUGCGUAGGCGGUAGGGCAAGUCAGAUGGGAAAGCCCGGGGCUCAACCCCGGGACUGCAUUUGAAACUGUCUUACUAGAGUGCAGGAGAGGAAAGCGGAAUUCCUAGUGUAGCGGUGAAAUGCGUAGAUAUUAGGAAGAACACCAGUGGCGAAGGCGGCUUUCUGGACUGUAACUGACGCUGAGGCACGAAAGCGUGGGGAGCGAACAGGAUUAGAUACCCCUGUAGUC
RNAcentral lists this ribosomal RNA (441 nucleotides) under uncultured bacterium. RNAcentral describes it as "bacterial SSU rRNA". It matches the Rfam family "Bacterial small subunit ribosomal RNA", at positions 338 to 795 of the family's 1533-position model. The record is from RNAcentral.